RNAcentral lists this ribosomal RNA (241 nucleotides) under uncultured Lactobacillus sp. RNAcentral describes it as "partial 16S ribosomal RNA". It matches the Rfam family "Bacterial small subunit ribosomal RNA", at positions 122 to 354 of the family's 1533-position model. The record is from RNAcentral. Lineage: Bacteria; Bacillati; Bacillota; Bacilli; Lactobacillales; Lactobacillaceae.
UAACCUGCCCAAGAGAUCGGGAUAACACCUGGAAACAGAUGCUAAUACCGGAUAAUAACAGAUGAUGCCUAUCAACUGUUUAAAAGAUGGUUCUGCUAUCACUCUUGGAUGGACCUGCGGUGCAUUAGCUAGUUGGUAGGGUAACGGCCUACCAAGGCGAUGAUGCAUAGCCGAGUUGAGAGACUGAUCGGCCACAUUGGGACUGAGACGACGGCCCAAACUCCUACGGGAGGCAGCAGGC